UAAAACGUAGGACGCAAGCGUUAUCCGGAGUUACUGGGCGUAAAGCGCGGGCAGGCGGCUCGAUGCGUCUGAUGUGAAAUCUCCUCGCUCAACGGGGAGAGGCCAUUGGAAACGGUCGGGCUGGAGGGCAGUAGAGGCAGGCGGAAUUCCGGGUGGAGUGGUGAAAUGCGUAGAGAUCCGGAGGAACACCAGAGGCGAAGGCGGCCUGCUGGGCUGCACCUGACGCUGAGCCGCGAAAGCCAGGGGAGCGAACGGGAUUAGAAACCCCGGUAGUCCUGGCCGUAAACGAUGUUCACUGGAUGGCGGCGGGAUACCGUCGUUGUCGAAGCUAACGCGAUAAGUGAACCGCCUGGGGAGUACGGUCGCAAGGCUA
RNAcentral lists this ribosomal RNA (373 nucleotides) under uncultured bacterium. RNAcentral describes it as "bacterial SSU rRNA". It matches the Rfam family "Bacterial small subunit ribosomal RNA", at positions 521 to 896 of the family's 1533-position model. The record is from RNAcentral.